AUUGAACGCUGGCGGCGUGCUUAACACAUGCAAGUCGAUCGGUAACAGGUGUAGCAAUACAUGCUGACGAGAGGCGGACGGGUGAGUAAUGCUUGGGAAUCUGCCUAUUAGUGGGGGACAACCCGGGGAAACUCGGGCUAAUACCGCAUACGCUCUACGGAGGAAAGCCGGGGACCGCAAGGCCUGGCGCUAAUAGAUGAGCCCAAGUCGGAUUAGCUAGUUGGAGGGUAACGGCCUACCAAGGCGACAAUCCGUAGCUGGUCUGAGAGGACGACCAGCCACACCGGAACUGAGACACGGUCCGGACUCCUAGGGAGGCAGCAGUGGGGAAUAUUGGACAAUGGGGGCAACCCUGAUCCAGCGACGCCGCGUGGGUGAAGAAGGCCUGCGGGUUGUAAAGCCCUUCGGUGGGGAAGAAAAGUCUCGACCUAAUACGUCGGGACCUUGACGUAACCCA
RNAcentral lists this ribosomal RNA (457 nucleotides) under uncultured bacterium. RNAcentral describes it as "bacterial SSU rRNA". It matches the Rfam family "Bacterial small subunit ribosomal RNA", at positions 29 to 481 of the family's 1533-position model. The record is from RNAcentral.